AGAGGAUGGCGGCCUCCUGCAGAGCGACUCAAAGCCCUUGUUUUCCUUCUGCACUGCCACAGAACAGGAUUUCCAAGAGGCUCUGCCUCUGCAGCAGGCUUCUGUCUGGAAACAGUAGGGGGUGGAGGUGUGUUGGGGGGUGGAUCCUUCACCAAUGGUUAAGCACCAUCUUCUUGAUGCUGACUUAGUGAUAGUGAGUUCUCAUGAGAUCUGGUUGUAUAACAGGCGGUGGCACCUCUUUCCUCUGUGAGUCUUGCUCCUACUCCUGCCGUAUGAAACAUUUCAUUGCUGCUUUCCUUCUGGUAUGAUUGGGAGGCUUCCUGAGUCUUCCCAGAAGUAGAAGCCACCAUGCUUUCUUUACAGCCUGAAGACCCAUGAGCCAAUGAAUCCCCUUUUCAUUAUGACCACACAGAAAAUAAGUACUGCAAAGUGGAGCUAUGAAAUAUCUUCAAUGACUUUUCCC
This 463-nucleotide long non-coding RNA is filed under the name Homo sapiens (human). RNAcentral's name for it is "HSALNT0149689". Lineage: Eukaryota; Metazoa; Chordata; Mammalia; Primates; Hominidae. The record is from RNAcentral.